GCCCGGCUAGCUCAAUCGGUAGAGUGUGAGAACUCUUACCACAGACGAUACUCCCAGGGUCUGUCCAAAUCAGUCCAUCUCAAGGUUGUGGGUUCGACCCCCACGUCUAGCU
Molecule: non-coding RNA, 112 nt
Organism: Bombardia bombarda
Lineage: Eukaryota; Fungi; Ascomycota; Sordariomycetes; Sordariales; Lasiosphaeriaceae
Source: the annotation of a GenBank genome assembly